AACGAACGCUGGCGGCAUGCCUAACACAUGCAAGUCGAACGAGACCUUCGGGUCUAGUGGCGCACGGGUGCGUAACGCGUGGGAACCUGCCCUUAGGUUCGGAAUAACUCCCCGAAAUGGGUGCUAAUACCGGAUAAUGUCUUCGGACCAAAGAUUUAUCGCCUUUGGGUGGGCCCGCGUUGGAUUAGCUAGUUGGUAGGGUAAAAGCCUACCAAGGCGACGAUCCAUAGCUGGUCAGAGAGGAUGAUCAGCCACACUGGGACUGAGACACGGCCCAGACUACUACGGGAGGCAGCAGUGGGGAAUAUUGGACAAUGGGCGAAAGCCUGAUCCAGCAAUGCCGCGUGAGUGAUGAAGGCCUUAGGGUUGUAAAGCUCUUUUACCCGGGAUGAUAAUGACAGUACCGGGAGAAUAAGCUCCGGCUAACUCCGUG
This 433-nucleotide ribosomal RNA is filed under the name uncultured bacterium. RNAcentral's name for it is "partial 16S ribosomal RNA". It matches the Rfam family "Bacterial small subunit ribosomal RNA", at positions 29 to 507 of the family's 1533-position model. The record is from RNAcentral.